AUUGAACGCUGGCGGCAUGCCUUACACAUGCAAGUCGAACGGCAGCGGACCUUCGGGUGCCGGCGAGUGGCGAACGGGUGAGUAAUAUAUCGGAACGUACCUUUCAGUGGGGGAUAACGUAGCGAAAGUUACGCUAAUACCGCAUAUUCUGUGAGCAGGAAAGCAGGGGAUCGCAAGACCUUGCGCUGAUUGAGCGGCCGAUAUCAGAUCAGCUAGUUGGUGAGGUAAAGGCUCACCAAGGCGACGAUCUGUAGCGGGUCUGAGAGGAUGAUCCGCCACACUGGAACUGAGACACGGUCCAGACUCCUACGGGAGGCAGCAGUGGGGAAUUUUGGACAAUGGGCGCAAGCCUGAUCCAGCCAUGCCGCGUGAGUGAAGAAGGCCU
RNAcentral lists this ribosomal RNA (385 nucleotides) under uncultured bacterium. RNAcentral's name for it is "bacterial SSU rRNA". It matches the Rfam family "Bacterial small subunit ribosomal RNA", at positions 30 to 417 of the family's 1533-position model. The record is from RNAcentral.